CCCAGAACCCCUCUAAUUCUCAUCUCUCUAACCCAAAUCCUAGAGACCAGCCACCCUAAAAUUCUUCGACGCCUCCGCCAUUAACCACUCGUCGAUAAUCGCCUCACGAUGGCUUCGUACUCCAAACCUUAAAAAUUUACACCAUGUGAUCUCCUCUCUCUCCCCUUUCUCCACAAACUGUUUCCCUCAAGCCCAUACCAAAUUACUCGAAUUUUAGAUAGAAAAUCAGAACCUAAAUCCUAAUUCAUCCAAAUCAACCCAAAUUCACCAUGUACACUCCCCAGCCUCCCCUCUAUACCAAUCUACUAACCUGUCCCCCAAAAGACCCACCCAAUUUCGUUAAUUCCAUAUUUGGAAGUUCGGAUAGUUUACCCACUUUGAUGAGUUUUCUUCUAAUUUCUCGAGUUUCAAGUCACGAGUUGAGCCUAAAAUUAGCAAGAACGAUUGCUUAAUGUAAUUAUGGACCCACUUCAAAGCAUGAUCGGAGUCCUGCCAGCCCCAUAUGAACCUAGGUCCAAGUUGUCUUCCAAUUUUUUGCUUCUGGUAAGGUUCCUCCAAUGUCUUCUCCAUUAUUUUCUUUUCUUCGAGUCAGUAACUUUCUUCCUGCAUGUUCGAUUAGUUUAUGUCAUUAUGCUUAAUCAGAUUUAGCUCAUGAUUAUUUAGUUAAUCAUUAGUUCAUGGUUACAGAAUCUGGUUAUCAUGUUUGUUUUAGAUCAUUUAUGGUAUUUUUUGUCAUGUUUUCUUAUUAGUCUUCUUUGUUCUCUCCUUCAGUUUUCGUUUUUCUUAGUUUUCAUGAUUUAGGGUUUCUCAAUGCUCCAACUUUAUGUGUUUUUUUUUCAUUUUCAUCUUGUUUGUGUUGUAUAAAUUAGCAUGUUUUAGUAAUUUCAUUGCAUGAAAUUCCUACUAAUUCCAUCUUAAUUCGAUUCAUGUAGGGAUUAGUUUAUUCUUGGUUUUCUGUUGUAAGAUUCAAUUGUAUUUUUUUCCUUUGAUUAUUGUUUUGAUCAUUAUUUUGGUAAUUGCUGGCCUAGUCUAUAUUUGUUUGACUUGUGCAUUAGUAUAAACUUCUUGGGGUUAAUUGAAUCAAUAAAAACUUAAGGGGUUAAUUUGGGAAAUAGAAAUAGGAUUUUCAAAUAAGGUUAAUAUUAGAAGCUUCUAAAGUUUGUGCUUGCUGGCCCUUUUCGCCCGCACAAAAAUACUAAAAGUAAUUAGAGGUCGACAAAUGACCCAAUUUUGUUGGAAAGAUGCCUUUAGGGGGGUGUGUGAGAGAAAAAUAUUCCCUAAUUCUAUUUCAGCACAUGGAAUUGGGUUGCAAUAAGUAGAACCUCUCCUUCACUCCUUAGGCAGAGAUUUCAGACCCUAAGAAAAUACCCUAAAAAGUUCUGCAUUGUUUAAAUAGCUAAAUUUUCUGAUUUUCACAAGAAAAACUAGAAGAUGUUUUUUGAAAUUUUUGGAUUCUAAAAGGCUGACUCAUGGUUUAAUUGUGGAAACUGUGUUGUCGCUUCUGGAUUUUUGUUUGCUUUCAUUUCUGCUGACUUCAGUGUUCUUUUCUUCUAUUUUCUGUAUUCAGGUAUCCCCAUGAGCUUUGAAAUACAAAAAUAAAGAACAAUAUGUUUGGCUUGAAGUUGAAAAUUCCAGAUUUUCUUUGGUUUAUAGUCUUCUUUGUUUCUUUCUUUUGUUUGCGGAUUUCUUUCCAUCUUUUUAAAUUUUCCUAGAAAUGAUGUUUUAGUAUAUAACUCAGUCACAAUGUUAAGCUUGAAAGUUAGAAUUGAUUUAGUGUUUCAUGUAUGGCUGAAUAAUUUUGCUAUGAUUAGAGUUGUAAUAUUUAGGGACACUGUGUGAACUGUUAAUGGUAUGUUGUCUAUAUGUACUUGAAUGGGUAAAUACCCUCAGCUAAGUCAUUUUAAGUUUAAUUUUAUUUAGGGCUAGGUUAAUACAUGAUGAGUUCAUAUUAGUAUCUAAUAUGUGUUGAAUCAUGUUAUGUUUGAGUUAGAGUAAUUAAAAUAUGUAAGCUGAUAUAGUGGAUAAACAUUUUAAAAAACCAUGUUCCUACUGUCAUUGUUAAAAGCAAGUCAUUAAGGUUAAUUUUGUAAUAUGAGUAGCUAUGCAUUUUGGUGCUUAAGAUUACUCUGUUAUAUUGCCAUGAGUUAAUUAGAGAGGCUAAACUUCAUAAGGCCUUAAUGUUGAAGAUCUUCUUUCGUUAGAGGCUACUGGGCCUAACCUUGGCCCAUGUAAGGCAACCCGCGACCAGAUUUGAUAUUCUUUUGCUUUGGACUAAAUUUGGAGCCUAAUAGUCUUCAGUCUUAGUUUUUUUUGUUUUUUAAAGUUUUAUGUUAAUUUAAUAAGAAAAAGAUUUUAAUGUGGAGUUUUGUCAGACUAUUGGGCCAGAGAUCAGCCCAAAACGAGGCAACCUUGAUCGCAUUUAGACCUGAUGAGGUCUUUGAAGAUCCGUGCCUUUUUAGGCUCAACUUCAAGCCCGUGCUGCUGCAACAUCCUAUAUUCUUGAUCAUAUGCUAAAUUGGCCUAUUGUGGUCCAC
This 2534-nucleotide long non-coding RNA is filed under the name Nicotiana benthamiana. RNAcentral's name for it is "long non-coding RNA (NBEN_LNC041663)". The record is from RNAcentral. Lineage: Eukaryota; Viridiplantae; Streptophyta; Magnoliopsida; Solanales; Solanaceae.